GAUGAACGCUGGCGGCGUGCCUAAUACAUGCAAGUCGAGCGAACGGACGAGAAGCUUGCUUCUCUGAUGUUAGCGGCGGACGGGUGAGUAACACGUGGAUAACCUACCUAUAAGACUGGGAUAACUUCGGGAAACCGGAGCUAAUACCGGAUAAUAUUUUGAACCGCAUGGUUCAAAAGUGAAAGACGGUCUUGCUGUCACUUAUAGAUGGAUCCGCGCUGCAUUAGCUAGUUGGUAAGGUAACGGCUUACCAAGGCAACGAUGCAUAGCCGACCUGAUAGGGUGAUCGGCCACACUGGAACUGAGACACGGUCCAGACACCUACGGGAGGCAGAAGUAGGGAAUCUUCCGCAAUGGGCGAAAGCCUGACGGAGCAACGCCGCGUGAGUGAUGAAGGUCUUCGGAUCGUAAAACUCUGUUAUUAGGGAAGAACAUAUGUGUAAGUAACUGUGCACAUCUUGACGGUACCUAAACAGAAAGCCACGGCUAACUACGU
Molecule: ribosomal RNA, 496 nt
Filed under: uncultured bacterium
Lineage: Bacteria
Description: partial 16S ribosomal RNA
Rfam family: Bacterial small subunit ribosomal RNA
Source: RNAcentral